RNAcentral lists this ribosomal RNA (1399 nucleotides) under metagenome. Its description in RNAcentral is "bacterial SSU rRNA". It matches the Rfam family "Bacterial small subunit ribosomal RNA". The record is from RNAcentral.
CGGGUGAGUAAUGUAUCGGAACGUACCUUUCAGUGGGGGAUAACGUAGCGAAAGUUACGCUAAUACCGCAUAUUCUGUGAGCAGGAAAGCAGGGGAUCGCAAGACCUUGCGCUGAUUGAGCGGCCGAUAUCAGAUUAGCUAGUUGGUGAGGUAAAGGCUCACCAAGGCGACGAUCUGUAGCGGGUCUGAGAGGAUGAUCCGCCACACUGGAACUGAGACACGGUCCAGACUCCUACGGGAGGCAGCAGUGGGGAAUUUUGGACAAUGGGGGCAACCCUGAUCCAGCCAUGCCGCGUGAGUGAAGAAGGCCUUCGGGUUGUAAAGCUCUUUCGGCCGGGAAGAAAUCGUAUGGGUUAAUACCCUGUGCGGAUGACGGUACCGGCAUAAGAAGCACCGGCUAACUACGUGCCAGCAGCCGCGGUAAUACGUAGGGUGCGAGCGUUAAUCGGAAUUACUGGGCGUAAAGCGUGCGCAGGCGGUUUUGUAAGACAGGCGUGAAAUCCCCGGGCUCAACCUGGGAACUGCGCUAGUGACUGCAAGGCUAGAGUAUGGCAGAGGGGGGUGGAAUUCCACGUGUAGCAGUGAAAUGCGUAGAGAUGUGGAGGAACACCAAUGGCGAAGGCAGCCCCCUGGGCCAAUACUGACGCUCAUGCACGAAAGCGUGCUAGCAAACAGGAUUAGAUACCCUGGUAGUCCACGCCCUAAACGAUGUCAACUAGGUGUUGGGUGGGUAAAACCAUUUAGUACCGGAGCUAACGCGUGAAGUUGACCGCCUGGGGAGUACGGCCGCAAGGUUAAAACUCAAAGGAAUUGACGGGGACCCGCACAAGCGGUGGAUGAUGUGGAUUAAUUCGAUGCAACGCGAAAAACCUUACCUACCCUUGACAUGUCCAGGAGCCUGAAGAGAUUUGGGUGUGCCCGAAAGGGAACUGGAACACAGGUGCUGCAUGGCUGUCGUCAGCUCGUGUCGUGAGAUGUUGGGUUAAGUCCCGCAACGAGCGCAACCCUUGUCGUUAAUUGCCAUCAUUUAGUUGGGCACUUUAACGAGACUGCCGGUGACAAACCGGAGGAAGGUGGGGAUGACGUCAAGUCCUCAUGGCCCUUAUGGGUAGGGCUUCACACGUCAUACAAUGGUCGGUACAAAGGGUUGCCAACCCGCGAGGGGGAGCCAAUCCCAGAAAGCCGAUCGUAGUCCGGAUUGCAGGCUGCAACUCGCCUGCAUGAAGUCGGAAUCGCUAGUAAUCGUGGAUCAGCAUGUCACGGUGAAUACGUUCCCGGGUCUUGUACACACCGCCCGUCACACCAUGGGAGCGGGUUCCGCCAGAAGUAGGUAGCCUAACCGCAAGGGGGGCGCUUACCACGGCGGGGUUCGUGACUGGGGUGAAGUCGAAACAAGGUA